RNAcentral lists this ribosomal RNA (816 nucleotides) under Triticum aestivum (bread wheat). RNAcentral's name for it is "partial small subunit ribosomal RNA". Lineage: Eukaryota; Viridiplantae; Streptophyta; Magnoliopsida; Poales; Poaceae. The record is from RNAcentral.
AUGAGUUGCUUCAAGCUAACAAAGGAGGUUUGUAAGAAUUUGGCAUCUAGUAUAGCCAAGUAUUGGUGGAGUAGCAAUCUGGACCGUCGUUCUUUGCACUGGCUGUCCUGGGAAUCACUCAAUUCCCCUAAACAUAAGGGUGGGAUGGAAUUCAGGAUCAGGGAUCUCGAAUUGUUCAACUUAGCUCUCCUUGGAAAGCACGGACGGAGACUGAUGACCAAUCCCAAUUCCUUGUCUGCGCGGGUCCUGAAGGGAAGGUAUUAUCCAGCUUGCGAUUUUAUGCAAGCCACUGUUCCGAAAUUUGCAUCUGCGACUUGGCGAGCUAUCAUCGCAGGAAGGGAUGCGUUGAAAACUGGCUUGAUCAAGCGACCAGACAAUGGAUCCACUAUCUCGAUAUGGGAUGAUAAGUGGAUUCCGGGAACUUGGUCCAUGUCUCCUGUGGCCCGAAUUGGCAAUGCUAAUAUGAACAUGGUUUCAGACCUUAUUCAUUCGGACAACAGGACAUGGAAGAUGGAUAUUGUGACGGACAACUUCAUACCUCCUGAUGCGGAUGCAAUACUAAAUAUCCCACUCAGGUGGGGAGGGGGUGAAGAUGAUCUGGCACGGGCGUACGAAAGAACCACGUGCUAUACUGUCAAAUCUGCGUAUGGAUCUCUUAUUACUCAAAACGAGCAGCGAGCUCUAGCGGAAGGGACGAUAACCGAAGCUUCAGAGAUUGAAAGUUCUACCAAAAGUGCGAGUUUGCUGGUGGCGAGUCUUGCGGGGAAUUCUGCCAGCUCAAGCUACCCUACAUCAACGUCACAUUGCUUCAGUUAG